RNAcentral lists this ribosomal RNA (464 nucleotides) under uncultured bacterium. Its description in RNAcentral is "partial 16S ribosomal RNA". It matches the Rfam family "Bacterial small subunit ribosomal RNA", at positions 330 to 792 of the family's 1533-position model. The record is from RNAcentral.
GCCAGACUCCUACGGGAGGCAGCAGUGAGGAAUAUUGGUCAAUGGGCGGGAGCCUGAACCAGCCAAGCCGCGUGAAGGAAGAAGGCGCCAAGCGUCGUAAACUUCUUUUGUCGGGGAACAAAGGGCGCCACGUGUGGCGUUGUGAGUGUACCUGAAGAAAAAGCAUCGGCUAACUCCGUGCCAGCAGCCGCGGUAAUACGGAGGAUGCGAGCGUUAUCCGGAUUUAUUGGGUUUAAAGGGUGCGUAGGCGGUAUUUUAAGUUAGUGGUAAAACGUCGGGGCUUCACCUUGAUUGGCCAUUAAAACUGGAGUACUAGAGUACAGACGAGGUAGGCGGAAUAAGUUAAGUAGCGGUGAAAUGCUUAGAUAUAACUUAGAACCCCGAUAGCGAAGGCAGCUUACCAGACUGUUACUGACGCUGAAGCACGAGAGCGUGGGUAGCGAACAGGAUUAGAUACCCCGGUA